Long non-coding RNA from Mirounga angustirostris (Northern elephant seal), 1584 nucleotides. RefSeq lists it as uncharacterized. The transcript is spliced from 5 exons. NCBI's taxonomy places the organism in Eukaryota, Metazoa, Chordata, Mammalia, Carnivora, Phocidae. The record is from RefSeq and is a predicted model, not a curated record.
GGCGCAGGGCUGGGGCACGGGGAAGGGCGGGGGGACACGUCAGCGCGCACAGCCUUCUCCUCUUCAGCCUUCCUCCCCCGGGGUGCUUGCACUGUCUGCAUUUAGGAGGGGCUGACAAAAUGGGGAGUCUUCAGCAACACCCCAGGUAUAGAGAGGAAGGUAUCAACAUUUGUGAGCAGAAUGGUUUUUGCAGAUCCUGCAUCACUAUAAUAAGAUUGAUGGCUGCUGUAGCUUAGGGGGGUGGUGGUGAUGAGAGAAAGGAGAGGUUUCACUAGGCUACCUGCUCCAGAGGGGACAACAGGGACCUGGCAGGGAGUCUGCCUGGGACCAGCUGAGGGAAGUGCAGGAACACUGUUCCUUAUAAAAAGGUUGAGAUAGAGUCUGGCCUGCUCAAGUGACCAAGACGCUGCAACCAAGCAAGAAAAGGAUAUAAUUGCUAUUUCUAGAAGAGACCUUGUAUACUGUGUUCACUAAUGAAGCUCCAGGGCAUAGGCUGUAAACUGGAUGCUCGUGUCCCUCCAGAAUUCACUCCUGGAAAUCUGGUAUUUGAAGUUGGGGCCUUCAGGAGGUGAUUUGGUCAGGAGGUCAAAGCCCUCAAGAAUGGGGCCAGCUCCCCUUAUAAAGGAGGCCCCGGAGAGCUCCCUUGCCCUUCCUUCCAUGUGAGGACACAGGGAGAAGGCAGCUUGCUGUGAACCAGGUGGCAGAACCUCACCAGACACCUGAUCAGCUGGUGCCUUGAUCUCAGACUUCCAGCCUCCAAAAUGCUUUUACAGGACUUGUUUUCAAUACCUCAGGAUUCCCAGAAGUUAGAUUACUUGGGCCGUCUCCACAGAUGGCUUUGGAGCUCUGGAUCAAUAUUGUCCACUGGCCACCGAAGGGACUAUGUCUCCAUACGUUCUCGGGCAGUGAUGUUUAUUUGUACAAGCUUUGUGAACCUGAUAGGUCAAAUGAGCAUAAUGAACACAGCUUUAUUGUGGACUAAUUGUAAAAUGCAGAUAUGCAAGGAGAACAAAAUGAAAGCUACCUACAGUUUUAUCUUCUAGAGAUAGCCCAUGAUACCGUCUUUCAAGAAUUAUCACUACGCACAUGCAUGAGGCUUUAACAGAUUGUACUUGUCUGAAUGACUAUAUGAGGGUUUGCCCUGGAUACCAGACAUUCCCUUAAUAACUGUAUUGAGAUGCGUGGGUGAACGUACUUUGGACGCACGUGGACACGGUUCGCUCCGGAACCAUCACACCACUUUCCUGGCUUCCAUCACCUGGACCUGCAACAAGACAAGGCACUCCAUGUGUCUUUAACCUUUUCCAAUCUAAUAGGUGAGACACAUCAAUUUUUAAGUUUGAAUUUCUGUUUAUUGACAAAAUUAAAUAUUUUCAAUGCUUCAUUCCUGUGUUUUUCAUGCAAAUCUAUCAUUUUAUGAAUACAUUGUGUCCUCUUUUUAAAACUGUUUUGAGAAGACUCCUGUUAUAUUAAGGAUUCCAAUUACUUGUCCUACAUGCUGCAGAUAUUCCCAAUAUGUUGGUUUACUCUUAAUACUUUCUGGACUCCUUUAAUAUAUGAAUACUUGUGAUUUUAGGCCUGAAA